This is a small nucleolar RNA of Bactrocera dorsalis (oriental fruit fly), 212 nucleotides long. RefSeq annotates it as small nucleolar RNA U3. The record is from RefSeq and is a predicted model, not a curated record. The transcript has a single exon. Lineage: Eukaryota; Metazoa; Arthropoda; Insecta; Diptera; Tephritidae.
UCAACUUUUUUUCAAUCAUCAUUAAAAUAAUAAAUGUUUAAACAAUUGUAAUGCAAUUAAACGUGCGUCUAACCUAUUGACCAGCAGUGUAUAUCGUUUUAUCUGGGAGCGUGAGAUUUAAGAAAUUCAUUUCUAAUUUUGUCUUUUGGCAUAUUAGAAAUGUUUCUUCGAAAAUCGCUCGCUUACAAGGGAUAAAACGACUUCUGAGUGGU